RNAcentral lists this long non-coding RNA (274 nucleotides) under Gallus gallus (chicken). Lineage: Eukaryota; Metazoa; Chordata; Aves; Galliformes; Phasianidae. The record is from RNAcentral.
CUGGAUACAUAUUCAUUAUCAGCCUCCUCCUGAUGAGAAUGAGCUAUCAUGACUUCUUCUUCUUCUUGCACAGCUGGCUGCUGAGAAAUGAAGGGCGAUGGAUCUUGUGAGUCUGUCCCUAGAUAGCCCUCAGACCGAUCAUCUGUAUCUAACUUUUCUUCAUUCGCUGAAAACUUCUUACUUUCUCCAUCAUCUUCAUUUUUUUUCUUUUUCUUCUUGUCUUUAAACUGCUUUAUUAAAGUGAUCAAAUGCUCCGCUAGAAACAUAAAAUACA